AUCCAGUUGACGAGUCCUAUAUAGGACGAAACAACCGUCCUGAAU
This 45-nucleotide non-coding RNA is filed under the name Schistosoma mansoni. Lineage: Eukaryota; Metazoa; Platyhelminthes; Trematoda; Strigeidida; Schistosomatidae. The record is from RNAcentral.